UACACACCUUGAAACUUAGGGGUUGUUAGU
RNAcentral lists this non-coding RNA (30 nucleotides) under Rattus norvegicus (Norway rat). The record is from RNAcentral. Lineage: Eukaryota; Metazoa; Chordata; Mammalia; Rodentia; Muridae.